ACGUAGGGGGCAAGCGUUGUCCGGAUUUAUUGGGCGUAAAGAGCUCGUAGGCGGUUCCGGAAGUCGAGUGUGAAAAAUCUGGGCUCAACCCAGUGGAGCACUCGAUACUGCGGUGACUAGAGUACGGUAGAGGAGUGUGGAAUUCCUGGUGUAGCGGUGAAAUGCGCAGAUAUCAGGAGGAACACCAACGGCGAAGGCAGCACUCUGGGCCGGUACUGACGCUGAGGAGCGAAAGCGUGGGGAGCAAACAGG
This 252-nucleotide ribosomal RNA is filed under the name uncultured bacterium. RNAcentral's name for it is "partial 16S ribosomal RNA". It matches the Rfam family "Bacterial small subunit ribosomal RNA", at positions 525 to 776 of the family's 1533-position model. The record is from RNAcentral.